AUUGAACGCUGGCGGCAUGCCUUACACAUGCAAGUCGAACGGCAGCACGGGAGCAAUCCUGGUGGCGAGUGGCGAACGGGUGAGUAAUAUAUCGGAACGUGCCCAGUCGUGGGGGAUAACGUAGCGAAAGCUACGCUAAUACCGCAUACGAUCUAUGGAUGAAAGCGGGGGAUCGCAAGACCUCGCGCGAUUGGAGCGGCCGAUAUCAGAUUAGGUAGUUGGUGAGGUAAAGGCUCACCAAGCCGACGAUCUGUAGCUGGUCUGAGAGGACGACCAGCCACACUGGGACUGAGACACGGCCCAGACUCCUACGGGAGGCAGCAGUGGGGGAAUUUUUGGACAAUGGGGGCAACCCUGAUCCAGCAAUGCCGCGUGAGUGAAGAAGGCCUUCGGUU
RNAcentral lists this ribosomal RNA (395 nucleotides) under uncultured bacterium. Its description in RNAcentral is "bacterial SSU rRNA". It matches the Rfam family "Bacterial small subunit ribosomal RNA", at positions 30 to 423 of the family's 1533-position model. The record is from RNAcentral.